Molecule: ribosomal RNA, 492 nt
Filed under: uncultured bacterium
Lineage: Bacteria
Description: partial 16S ribosomal RNA
Rfam family: Bacterial small subunit ribosomal RNA
Source: RNAcentral
AGUGAACGCUGGCGGUAGGCCUAACACAUGCAAGUCGAACGGCAGCACAGUAAGAGCUUGCUCUUACGGGUGGCGAGUGGCGGACGGGUGAGGAAUACAUCGGAAUCUACUUUUUCGUGGGGGAUAACGUAGGGAAACUUACGCUAAUACCGCAUACGACCUACGGGUGAAAGCAGGGGAUCUUCGGACCUUGCGCGAUUGAAUGAGCCGAUGUCGGAUUAGCUAGUUGGCGGGGUAAAGGCCCACCAAGGCGACGAUCCGUAGCUGGUCUGAGAGGAUGAUCAGCCACACUGGAACUGAGACACGGUCCAGACUCCUACGGGAGGCAGCAGUGGGGAAUAUUGGACAAUGGGCGCAAGCCUGAUCCAGCCAUACCGCGUGGGUGAAGAAGGCCUUCGGAUUGUAAAGCCCUUUUGUUGGGAAAGAAAAGCAGCAGGUUAAUACCCCGCUGUUCUGACGGUACCAAAAGAAUAAGCACCGGCUAACUUCGUG